RNAcentral lists this unclassified non-coding RNA (1171 nucleotides) under Hevea brasiliensis (rubber tree). The record is from RNAcentral. Lineage: Eukaryota; Viridiplantae; Streptophyta; Magnoliopsida; Malpighiales; Euphorbiaceae.
UCAAAACACAGUUUAAGAAACCUAAUUCUUGGGAAAUAGAUCUGUGUAGGUGAGAGUUGAGGCUCUGACAUUGCAGGAAAACCUGAUGCAUAGAUCCGGCUGAGAUAUUCAUUUCUCCGUCUGAUCUGCUUGACAGAAUAUAUCUAUGGACGCCGACGGCGAAGCAGUGAAGCAUCCGGGCGGCCAGGUGUGCCAGAUCUGCGGCGAUGGCGUCGGCACCACUGCCACCGGCGAGCUCUUCGUCGCCUGCAGCGUCUGCGGGUUUCCUGUGUGUAGGGCGUGCUAUGAGUACGAGCGGAAGGAUGGGAACUUGUCCUGUCCUCAGUGCAAGACGAAAUAUAAACGGCACAAAGGGAGUCCACCGGUCGACGGGGAGGAGAAGGAUGACGCGGAUGGGGAUGAUGUGAGUGACUUCAGUUACCCGGCCAUCGACCAGGAGCAGAAGCAGAAGAUGUCUGAGAGGAUGCUGGGCUGGCACUACGGGCAAGGGGACGACAUCGGGCCAGCAAAGUAUGAUAGCGGAGAGCUUCCUCGGAACCCCAUUCCUCGCCUCACUCAUGGCUCCGAGGCGUCUCGCGAAUUGCCUGUGGCAUCCCCGGAUCAUAUGAUGUCGCCCGGAGGGGUCGGGAAACGGUCGCAUCCAAUGUUGUACCAAUCACCUAAUCAGUCGAGGGAAUUUUCGGGUGGAUUUGGAAAUGUUGCUUGGAAGGAAAGGGUUGAUGGAUGGAAGAUGAAGCAAGAUAAGAAUGCAAUACCACCUAUGACUAAUGGUGGUACAAGUCAUGCUCCUUCAGAGGGCAGGGCAGCUACUGAUUUUGAUGCGGCGACUGAGUAUAUGGAUGAUUCUUUAUUGAACGAUGAGGCUAGGCAGCCUCUUUCAAGGAAGGUUUCAAUUCCAUCAUCCAAGAUUAACCCUUACAGGAUGGUUAUCAUCGUGCGGCUAGUUGUCCUUUGUAUUUUUCUACAUUACCGUCUCACAAACCCUGUAAAAAAUGCCUUCAUUUUGUGGUUGCUGUCUGUUAUUUGCGAGAUUUGGUUUGCUGUUUCUUGGAUUCUGGAUCAGUUUCCCAAGUGGUUUCCAGUAAAUCGGGAGACUUAUCUUGAUAGAUUGGCAAUAAGGUAUGACAGAGAAGGCGAACCAUCUCAAUUGGCUGCUGUUGACAUUUUUGUC